This 497-nucleotide ribosomal RNA is filed under the name uncultured bacterium. RNAcentral describes it as "partial 16S ribosomal RNA". It matches the Rfam family "Bacterial small subunit ribosomal RNA", at positions 28 to 507 of the family's 1533-position model. The record is from RNAcentral.
GACGAACGCUGGCGGCGUGCCUAAUACAUGCAAGUUGAGCGCUGAAGGUUGGUACUUGUACCAACUGGAUGAGCAGCGAACGGGUGAGUAACGCGUGGGGAAUCUGCCUUUGAGCGGGGGACAACAUUUGGAAACGAAUGCUAAUACCGCAUAAAAACUUUAAACACAAGUUUUAAGUUUGAAAGAUGCAAUUGCAUCACUCAAAGAUGAUCCCGCGUUGUAUUAGCUAGUUGGUGAGGUAAAGGCUUACCAAGGCGAUGAUACAUAGCCGACCUGAGAGGGUGAUCGGCCACAUUGGGACUGAGACACGGCCCAAACUCCUACGGGAGGCAGCAGUAGGGAAUCUUCGGCAAUGGACGAAAGUCUGACCGGGCAACGCCGCGUGAGGGAAGAAGGUUUUCGGAUCGUAAAACUCUGUUGGUAGAGAAGAACGUUGGUGGGAGUGGAAAGCGCAUCAAGUGACGGUAACUACCCAGAAAGGGACGGCUAACUACGUG